AUUGAACGCUGGCGGCAUGCCUUACACAUGCAAGUCGAACGGUAACAGGUUAAGCUGACGAGUGGCGAACGGGUGAGUAAUAUAUCGGAACGUGCCCAGUCGUGGGGGAUAACGUAGCGAAAGCUACGCUAAUACCGCAUACGAUCUACGGAUGAAAGCGGGGGAUCGCAAGACCUCGCGCGAUUGGAGCGGCCGAUAUCAGAUUAGGUUGUUGGUGAGGUAAAGGCUCACCAAGCCUGCGAUCUGUAGCUGGUCUGAGAGGACGACCAGCCACACUGGGACUGAGACACGGUCCAGACUCCUACGGGAGGCAGCAGUGGGGAAUUUUGGACAAUGGGCGAAAGCCUGAUCCAGCAAUGCCGCGUGCAGGAUGAAGGCCUUCGGGUUGUAAACUGCUUUUGUACGGAACGAAACGGUGAGCUCUAAUACAGUUUGCUAAUGACGGUACCGUAAGAAUAAGCACCGGCUAACUACGUGCCAGCCGCCGCAGUAA
This 493-nucleotide ribosomal RNA is filed under the name uncultured bacterium. RNAcentral describes it as "partial 16S ribosomal RNA". It matches the Rfam family "Bacterial small subunit ribosomal RNA", at positions 30 to 523 of the family's 1533-position model. The record is from RNAcentral.